UCAAAUCAUCGUGGGGCUGUCUAAUCGCUAGGGUUGACCCAUGCCUGAGGUGGGAUAAUGUCCCUAGGCGGCAGUGCCGCAUGCCGUUGUCAGGAGUGACAGUUUCCAGCAGUCGUAUGGCGUUUGAAGGAGCCGACCGACCAUAGGUCGGCGGCUAGUUGACGGGCGUCAGGUGGAAACUCAGGGCCCCUCCGACAGUCAGUCGGGCACGUUGCAAGAGUCGGGCAACAGACUCCAUUGUAUAGUCGGUCG
This 252-nucleotide long non-coding RNA is filed under the name Elaeis guineensis (African oil palm). RNAcentral describes it as "long non-coding RNA (EGUI_LNC058967)". The record is from RNAcentral. Lineage: Eukaryota; Viridiplantae; Streptophyta; Magnoliopsida; Arecales; Arecaceae.